CCCACCGUAGGUGGGUGCCGAAGGAAGCCGGCGGCAAAGCCACGGCCUGAUGAACAAGAACCCCAUAAGAGGCUGGACCGCUCGGAUGAGCUGGCAUAACACAGCGAAAUCCUAGGCUGCCGAGGGGCGGUAGAGUAUAUGGGGCAGGCGCGGGGCGGAGGAAGGGC
Molecule: non-coding RNA, 167 nt
Organism: Thermosediminibacter oceani DSM 16646
Lineage: Bacteria; Bacillati; Bacillota; Clostridia; Thermosediminibacterales; Thermosediminibacteraceae
Source: Rfam